GCUACGCCCUUCUGCAAACCCUCAUCCCUUUUGCAAAUCCUCUCUCCCCUUAUGCAAACGAUGUCAAACUCCAGCGGAAACGAUAAGGAUGUAGUCCGAUUUCAAACAGUUUUCCCGAAUCAUGACUCUAAUCUAACUAGUGAAGAAGAUGGAGAUUCACAUGUUCCCUCAAGGUGAAUGACCAUUGUUGCGUUCAAGUCGGAGCUUGGAGGAUGGGAACAGAAAUGGUUAGAUCUGGCGGCGCCGCCCUUAUCCGCUUCAACCAUAAAACCGUCAAAAAUGUAUUGUCUUAGCGACAUGGACGCCGUUCUCUACAUCGACCGUAAACCCAAGGUAAUCUAUCUAUCUUCACGUCUCUCUUUUUUCGAUUUCAAUUUUUACUUAACCUAAUUAUUAUUAAUUUUCCUAAAUAUAAUUAAUUAAGAGAAAUUAAAUUAAAUGUGGUAGUGGUGUUGAUGUGUUAAAUUUGAUUUUUAUUUGGUUUAGGAGUAGUUACUUUAACCUUUGAGCAGGAUCUUGAUUGGGGUGGCACUGAUAACUAUUAUGAUAAAGUUGGUGUCGGUGAUAUUGCUAUCAGUACUCCAGAAUGGGUUUGGAAAUUAAAAAAUUUAGGUGUGAAUUUUCUUCCUUUGAUAGUGGCUUGUGUAUUUGUUAUUUUCUCCCACAUUAGGCAUAGAACCAAAUAAUUUCUCAAAAGGCUUGGUCUAUAAUUUAUUCAUCAAUCAUUCAUGAGGAAUAUGACUAAGGAAUUGUUAUUUGCUGGUACUAUUGUUUAAAUUUUGUUGUUAACUAUGAUUGAUGUGUUUUAAAUUUCUUGAAAAUGUUAACGUGGUGAGUUAGUUGUGAAGAUGUAUUGCUUGCUCAUCAACAUCAGAAUCACCAUCAGCAGCAUGGAUCCAACGGCGAGAAUAAGACUAUGUGGAUUGGAGAUUCGCAUAACUUGAUGGAUGGGAAUUAUCUUCAUUGUUAUUUUGCUUCCACCAGCGAGGUAUCAAUGAAAAUAACGAUAAGGACGACAACACAAGUGACGAAUUUCAAGAGGACAACUUAAAUGACGAGGACGACAUAAGUGACGAAUUUUAAGGGGACAACAUAGAUGAUGACCUUCAAGAAGACUACUUAGGUGAUAAAGAGGAUGAUGGAGAUGGCGAUGAGUUCGACUAAUUUAAAUGAGUUGGAUGUUGUUGUUUUAGGCUUCUACUUAAGCAUUAAACUUCUACUUAAGCAUUUAAAUGAGUUGGAUGUUGUUGUUUUAGGCUUCUACUUGAAGAAACAAUGUAUUUUGUCAUUUUUCUAGACUAAACUUCUAGUAUUAAGUAAUGUUAUAAGUUUUGUGUUUA
Molecule: long non-coding RNA, 1340 nt
Organism: Vicia villosa (hairy vetch)
Lineage: Eukaryota; Viridiplantae; Streptophyta; Magnoliopsida; Fabales; Fabaceae
Exons: 3
Source: RefSeq, a predicted model, not a curated record